AUGGACGUCGCUCGCGUUGCGCCGUGGAAGAGGCGGAAGAAGACGAGGGCAGCCGCCCCCGCCACCGCCACCGCCGCCACCGACACGCUCCCGGGAGACGUGGUGAUCGAGAUCCUCGUGCGCGUGGCCGAUGCCGCCACCCUCUUCCGUUGCGCCGUGGCGUGCAAGCCAUGGCUGGUCCUCGUGGCUGACCGCGCCUUCCUCCACCGCCGCUGGCCGGACGGGCCGGGCCAGCCCUCUCUCGUCGGCUUCUUCGCUCAGCAGCGGCGCCACACGUCGCAGGUCGUCUCCGCGGAUCCUCUUGCCGGCCCCCGCUCGCCGGCGUUCGUACCUGCGCCGCGAUCGCCGCUCGGCUCCUUCGUCUCCAGCGCCAUGGCCUCCCAGGACAUGGACGGCGCUGGCAUGCUUGACGACGCGGUGCCGCUCACGUUGCGCGAGGGCCUCCUCCUCGUGCGCCUCGCCCCGUGCGGCGGCGCCCCGGCCGUCGGCACAGGCCAGACCGUCGUCCAACUGGCGGUCUGCGACCUGUUUACCGGCACGUGCGACGCGCUACCCCCGCUGGAAUGCAACACCUCCUCCAGCAUCAACAACUGCGCCAUUCUAACCGACGCGGACCGGAGCUCGCACAAACGACGCCGGUCGCCAUCGCCAUUGCCGGGCCGCUCAUCCCUGUUGAAGGUGCUGGCCAUCGUCUUCGACCCCGAUACGUCCUACUACUACCUCUGCACUUUCUCGUCCACCAAGUCGACCUGGAGCGAGCCGACGCCGUGCUUCAGCAAGACGGCGCUCAGGAUCACAGAUGGCAGCGCCGCCGUGUGCCGCGGCACGGCACACUGGUUCGCUUGCGACGGUUGGGAGUCCUGCCGCACGCUCGGUGUCAGCACCAGCACUGGCCGUCCGUCAUCGACAGAGGUUUAUAUUCCACAGGGCCGCUACGACUUCGGCCUUUACAUCACACCCUGGCUCGGCGCCGCCAUGGACGACACACUCUCCUUGUUUCACCUGCACGGUGGAUGCCGCUCGCUGCAUGUCUGGACACGCCAUGGACGGCACAAUGUGAACUGGUCCCACAGUAAGGAGAUCGAGCUAAGACCGCCGGAGCAGAAGGCGAUUUGCGAGGACGUGCAAUGCCUGUGCGCUGACCAGGGGAGCGGCAUGCUGCUCGUCAUGGAUCGCCUCGAGCGCGUGUACAUUGUCGAUCUCCAAACUGGAGGGGUGGACGAGGUAACGGAGCAAUUUCAGAGACUCGAACUGCAGACUGUCGUGCCCUUUGAGAUGGAUUGGCAGACUUUCUUCUUCUCUCGUCUGGAGGGCCACAAAGUGGAUUUGAUAUAUAGAAGAAGAAAAUAA
RNAcentral lists this ribosomal RNA (1350 nucleotides) under Triticum aestivum (bread wheat). Its description in RNAcentral is "partial small subunit ribosomal RNA". Lineage: Eukaryota; Viridiplantae; Streptophyta; Magnoliopsida; Poales; Poaceae. The record is from RNAcentral.